Molecule: ribosomal RNA, 437 nt
Filed under: uncultured Clostridiales Family XIV bacterium
Lineage: Bacteria; Bacillati; Bacillota; Clostridia; Eubacteriales; Clostridiales Family XIV. Incertae Sedis
Description: bacterial SSU rRNA
Rfam family: Bacterial small subunit ribosomal RNA
Source: RNAcentral
ACGGAAGGCAGCAGUGGGGAAUAUUGCACAAUGGGGGAAACCCUGAUGCAGCGACGCCGCGUGAGUGAAGAAGUAUUUCGGUAUGUAAAGCUCUAUCAGCAGGGAAGAAAACAAUGACGGUACCUGACUAAGAAGCCCCGGCUAACUACGUGCCAGCAGCCGCGGUAAUACGUAGGGGGCAAGCGUUAUCCGGAUUUACUGGGUGUAAAGGGAGCGUAGACGGUGAGGCAAGUCUGAAGUGAAAGCCCGGAGCUCAACCCCGGGACUGCUUUGGAAACUGUCUGACUAGAGUGCAGGAGAGGUAAGUGGAAUUCCUAGUGUAGCGGUGAAAUGCGUAGAUAUUAGGAGGAACACCAGUGGCGAAGGCGGCUUACUGGACUGUAACUGACGUUGAGGCUCGAAAGCGUGGGGAGCAAACAGGAUUAGAUACCCUGGUA